Long non-coding RNA from Anguilla rostrata (American eel), 1051 nucleotides. RefSeq lists it as uncharacterized. NCBI's taxonomy places the organism in Eukaryota, Metazoa, Chordata, Actinopteri, Anguilliformes, Anguillidae. The record is from RefSeq and is a predicted model, not a curated record. The transcript has 4 exons.
GCAGUGCGAACUCUUCCGCAGGGGCGCAGGGUUUUUUACCGUCCUCUUCAGCGCACUGGGAGUUGUGUUGCUCAUUUUCUGCGUUUUAGUCGUGGCCAUCGUGGUGCUUCGGAGGAAGAGGAAACUCCGGAAAACUCUUUGGAAGAGUAACAACCCACAUAUCAGACGAGAUGCGCUGGAUGCGGACUACUUCAACUUUUUAAAUACAGGAUCCAGCACUGGAUGGGUACCAGGGAGAAGUGGACUAUAUGAGUUGGAUGACAGCAUCAAUCUUGCAAAUCAAUUCUCCCCUGUGUUCAGCCCCAGUCUGGAGUGUGUAGACUCAUCCUUAAAUGUGAAAAUCAAAAGACCAGAACUUUUGUCAUCCUUUCCUGAUGGGUAAUUCGACUGCAUCAUUUUACCUAGCUUAGUAAAAUCAAAUAUAACAAAAUGCUUUAAUCAUGGCAUGUUCAUGUUUAAACUUUAUUUUUGAAACAUUUAACCAAACUCUUGAUCAAUUAUUAUAUAAUUAGUUCAUUUUCCCUUGUUCUUAAAUAAUUAAUCUUAAAUGACAGCAACAACAAAUUUCCAUAUUAUUAUUAUUAUUUUUAUGAACAGCAUUUUUCUUUUUAAAAAUAGUGAGUUUAUUGGGUCACACAUUUUAAAAUUGAAUUUGUAAUUUAUUGUGCUUACUUUAGUGUAAAAUGCACAGAGAUUUGUAACAGUCCCUGGAAUUAUAUUUGUUCCCUGUCAUUAACAUUUGAUAGGUCUACUGUUGUAACGAUCACAAAUAAAUGAAUCAUGAAUAAUGAAUUUAAAAUGAGCCCGAUUUUAUUGAGUUUUUAAAUUGCUGUGCCUUCCACUUUCACACCACUAAGAGGCGCCCAAGGCCUAGAGUAAAGAUUAAAUUUAUCCACACAAAAAAUAUUGUUUACAAUCGACUAUGUGCUCAUUGACUAGCAAAAUUUCGACUGCCAUUUUGACUAUGCCAGUCGCUUUUGGUACAGUGGCCUGACAAGGUGCCCAACAAUAAGCUGAAAACAUCUCAAAACAAGCUGAUCAGGGUGAUAAU